RNAcentral lists this ribosomal RNA (273 nucleotides) under uncultured bacterium. Its description in RNAcentral is "partial 16S ribosomal RNA". It matches the Rfam family "Bacterial small subunit ribosomal RNA", at positions 524 to 796 of the family's 1533-position model. The record is from RNAcentral.
UACGAAGGGGGCUAGCGUUGUUCGGAAUUACUGGGCGUAAAGCGCACGUAGGCGGACAUUUAAGUCAGGGGUGAAAUCCCAGAGCUCAACUCUGGAACUGCCUUUGAUACUGGGUGUCUAGAGUAUGGAAGAGGUGAGUGGAAUUCCGAGUGUAGAGGUGAAAUUCGUAGAUAUUCGGAGGAACACCAGUGGCGAAGGCGGCUCACUGGUCCAUUACUGACGCUGAGGUGCGAAAGCGUGGGGAGCAAACAGGAUUAGAUACCCCCGUAGUCC